This 253-nucleotide ribosomal RNA is filed under the name Comamonadaceae bacterium. RNAcentral describes it as "partial 16S ribosomal RNA". It matches the Rfam family "Bacterial small subunit ribosomal RNA", at positions 524 to 776 of the family's 1533-position model. Lineage: Bacteria; Pseudomonadati; Pseudomonadota; Betaproteobacteria; Burkholderiales; Comamonadaceae. RNAcentral also lists the same sequence under 1 other name. The record is from RNAcentral.
UACGUAGGGUGCAAGCGUUAAUCGGAAUUACUGGGCGUAAAGCGUGCGCAGGCGGUUUUGUAAGACAGUGGUGAAAUCCCCGGGCUCAACCUGGGAACUGCCAUUGUGACUGCAAAGCUAGAGUGCGGCAGAGGGGGAUGGAAUUCCGCGUGUAGCAGUGAAAUGCGUAGAUAUGCGGAGGAACACCGAUGGCGAAGGCAAUCCCCUGGGCCUGCACUGACGCUCAUGCACGAAAGCGUGGGGAGCAAACAGG